RNAcentral lists this ribosomal RNA (253 nucleotides) under uncultured bacterium. Its description in RNAcentral is "partial 16S ribosomal RNA". It matches the Rfam family "Bacterial small subunit ribosomal RNA", at positions 524 to 776 of the family's 1533-position model. The record is from RNAcentral.
UACGUAGGGUGCUAGCGUUGUCCGGAUUUAUUGGGCGUAAAGAGCUCGUAGGCGGCUUGUCGCGUCGAAUGUGAAAACCCACGGCUCAACUGUGGGCUUGCAUUCGAUACGGGCAGGCUAGAGUUCGGUAGGGGAGACUGGAAUUCCUGGUGUAGCGGUGAAAUGCGCAGAUAUCAGGAGGAACACCGGUGGCGAAGGCGGGUCUCUGGGCCGAUAUUGACGCUGAGGAGCGAAAGCGUGGGGAGCGAACAGG